Molecule: small nucleolar RNA, 88 nt
Organism: Eutrema salsugineum
Lineage: Eukaryota; Viridiplantae; Streptophyta; Magnoliopsida; Brassicales; Brassicaceae
Rfam family: Small nucleolar RNA snoR120
Source: Rfam
AAAAAUGAGGAACAAAUUAAGUGUGAACCAGGACGUGAUGUCCUGAAACCAUGAGCCACAAUUUUAGCUUAUUGAUAUUCUGAUUUCA